GAUGGAAAAUUUAUAAAAUCUUUGUGUUAGUGGAGUAGGCGACCUUUAACCAAGAGUGUAUUUUAAAUGUUUUUAACUUUGAAGUUAUAUUAAAGAUUUUUAUAAAAUAUUUCUGCACUUUUAUGUAUUUAAGAUAAAGAAUGAUAGAUCUUACUGCCAAAUUAGUGGAAGCUCUUUCAAAGCUUUAUAACUCCAUACCAAAAUUAGAAAACAAGAGAGAUAUAGAUGAACAUAUUUUUAACGAUUUUAGAAAUGAAAUGGAUUCGGUCAUCUUAAAUCACCCAGCAAAAGUUGGUGAAACGUAUUAUUACGCAUUGAAAAGAAUGUAUUGUUUACAUAAUAGAAAUAUUUACGUUCCUCGUUCGUUAAUGUUGCAUUGCUCAUUAAAAAUGCGCAAAGAUGAAAUUCAGCAAUUAGUCACAUUACCUAAAAAAUAUAAAUUAGUUGUACCUAGGAAAAUGGAAAUAAUAUACGCUUUGCAGCAUAAAAUGGCUAUUGGGAACAACUUAUUAAAAAGAAGAG
Centruroides sculpturatus (bark scorpion) is the source of this 522-nucleotide long non-coding RNA. RefSeq lists it as uncharacterized. The transcript is spliced from 3 exons. Lineage: Eukaryota; Metazoa; Arthropoda; Arachnida; Scorpiones; Buthidae. The record is from RefSeq and is a predicted model, not a curated record.